Molecule: ribosomal RNA, 468 nt
Filed under: uncultured bacterium
Lineage: Bacteria
Description: partial 16S ribosomal RNA
Rfam family: Bacterial small subunit ribosomal RNA
Source: RNAcentral
GACGAACGCUGGCGGCGUGCUUAACACAUGCAAGUCGAACGGAAAGGCCCUGCUUUUGUGGGGUGCUCGAGUGGCGAACGGGUGAGUAACACGUGAGUAACCUGCCCUUGACUUUGGGAUAACUUCAGGAAACUGGGGCUAAUACCGGAUAGGAGCUCCUGCUGCAUGGUGGGGGUUGGAAAGGUUCGGCGGUUGGGGAUGGACUCGCGGCUUAUCAGCUUGUUGGUGGGGUAGUGGCUUACCAAGGCUUUGACGGGUAGCCGGCCUGAGAGGGUGACCGGCCACAUUGGGACUGAGAUACGGACCAGACUCCAACGGGAGGCAGCAGUGGGGAGUAUUGCACAAUGGGCGGAAGCCUGAUGCAGCAACGCCGCGUGCGGGAUGACGGCCUUCGGGUUGUAAACCGCUUUCGCCUGUGACGAAGCGUGAGUGACGGUAAUGGGUAAAGAAGCACCGGCUAACUACGUG